This 327-nucleotide ribosomal RNA is filed under the name uncultured eukaryote. Its description in RNAcentral is "partial 18S ribosomal RNA". It matches the Rfam family "Eukaryotic small subunit ribosomal RNA", at positions 1470 to 1796 of the family's 1831-position model. The record is from RNAcentral.
CCCUUAGAUGUUCUGGGCCGCACGCGCGCUAAACUGACGGAUUCAACGAGCUUACAACCUUGGCCGAAAGGUCUGGGUAAUCUCCAAAAUCCGUCGUGAUGGGGAUAGAUUAUUGCAAUUAUUAAUCUUCAACGAGGAAUGCCUAGUAAGCGCAAGUCAUCAGCUUGCGUUGAUUACGUCCCUGCCCUUUGUACACACCGCCCGUCGCUCCUACCGAUUGAAUGGUCCGGUGAAGCGUUUGGACUAUGGUUUUCUGAUGGUCCGCCGUUGGAUUACCGUGGGAAGUUCGUUAAACCUUAUCAUUUAGAGGAAGGAGAAGUCGUAACA